GUAUCACCUGGCUUCGCUGGUCUGCAAAACCAGUAUCAUGAGUUCAAAUCCCAUUCGGCGCUCCA
This 65-nucleotide transfer RNA is filed under the name Tunturiibacter empetritectus. RNAcentral's name for it is "Tunturibacter empetritectus tRNA-OTHER". Lineage: Bacteria; Pseudomonadati; Acidobacteriota; Terriglobia; Terriglobales; Acidobacteriaceae. The record is from RNAcentral.